Phyllostomus discolor (pale spear-nosed bat) is the source of this 612-nucleotide long non-coding RNA. RefSeq lists it as uncharacterized. Lineage: Eukaryota; Metazoa; Chordata; Mammalia; Chiroptera; Phyllostomidae. The record is from RefSeq and is a predicted model, not a curated record. The transcript is spliced from 2 exons.
AGCUUGCAUUUCUCCAUGGCCUUCAGCAUACAGCUCCAGCUCUAGAUCUGCUAAUUAACUGGAGGAAUUACACGAGGCUUGAGCUUUUGCAAGAACAGCCCCUUGUUAGAAGGCACCUUGCCCAAAGAGGGAAAGAAACAACAUAUUAACGACACCGUGAAGACACAUGCAGGCCUGCCUGAAAUAAAGAAGUGAACUGGGCCACUGAAACUGCUACCUUUAUCAGACUGCGGUCCCUAUUAAACCAAAACUUAAGAGAAAACUCCCCAAAUCCGAUCUCAUUGUUUAGUACUGUACCUUGAUGACUGGUCUAUAAUUUAUCUUUACCUGGCAUUCUCCUGCAGGCUCUCUAUUCAGGAUUUCUCCAGGUUAGCACUGAUCGAUCUACUGACUUGCAGUUGACUUUGUAGAUCGAUGUGCCCAGAGGCCAUAAGGCAAUGAAGUGGGUCUUCAAUAUAUCUUACUCUUUCCAUUUUCUGAGCUGCAUUUGCCUUAGAAACUGAACCACGGACCACCAGUGAGGAUAACUGCAUCUCCAGAUGUUCUCUAAGGAAGUCUGAUACUGAGAACACCAACAUGAAUCUGUGUGUGUGUACACAUCUGUACACACAU